GUUGCGAGGGUCAGAGUUCCAGAGAGCGUUCCUAGGCCUGGGACUCCUACAUGUCAACAGAAAAUACAAAUACGCUGAGUGCUUUCAGUGUGUGUACUCUGGAAGAAGUAUCCAAACUCCGUGUCAAUCACACUUACCAUUUUACAUUUGGUUGCACAAUAAAUCAGGAAGACGAAAGAAUCCUUCACCAGAAGCUGAUCUGUCUAAAUGAAAGGCUAAGGCACUUAGCCGUCAGCUGGACUGGAGAAGAAAGGGACCACACCUAGAUGCGUUUCCUGGGCUUUCUAUGUAGAAAUAUUCAGCCAUACUCUCUUAGGGUCGUUUUAAAAUGCCCAACCGGUGGAUUUCUGAAAACUGUUAAACUAAUCAUGAAGAGCAGCAGGAUAAGCUUUAAUAUUCAUUUUGAAGUGGUGCAUUCAGUGGACCGGUAGAUAUUACUUUUCUUUCAUCUGUAAAUUUUAUUGAAAAUAAAUGUAAUAAAAGUCAACAGUUCCGACAUAUAACAAAGACACAUGCUCCAUUAUGUUCAUAGCAGCCUUAUUUAUAAUAGCCAGAAGCUGGAAAGAACCCAGAUGCCCUUCAACAGAGGAAUGGAUACAGAAAAUGUGGUACAUCUACACAAUGGAAUACUACUCAGCUAUCAAAAACAAUGACUUUAUGAAAUUCAUAAGCAAAUGGAUGGAACUGGAAAAUAUCAUCCUGAGUGAGGUAACCCAAUCACAGAAAGACACACAUGGUAGUCUAAAUGCUUGAAUUACCCUAGACACACAGAACACAUGAAACUCAAGAAGGAUGACCAAAAUGUGAAUGCUUCACUCCUUCUUUAAAAGGGGAACAAGAAUAUGCUUGGGAGGGAAUAGGGAGGCAAAGUUUAGAACAGAAGCAGAAGGAACACCCAUUCAGAGCCUGCCCCACAUGUGGCCCAUACAUAUACAGCCACCUAAACUAGAUAAGAUAGAUGAAGCAAAGAAGUACAGGCUGACAGGAACCAGAUGUAGAUCUCUCCUGAGAGACACAGCCAGAAUAUGGCAAAUAUAUAGGCGAAUGCCAGCAGCAAACCACUGAACUGAGAACGGGAAGCCUGUUGAAGGAAUCAGAGAAAGGACUGGAAGAGCUUGAAGGGGCUUGAGACCUCAUAUGAACAACAAUGCCAAGCAACCAGAGCUUCCAGGGACUAAGCCACUACCCAAAGACAAUACCUGAACUGACCUUGGUCUCCAACUGCCUAGUAAGGGCAGCAGUGGAAGGGGAAGCCCUUGGUCCUGCCAAAGCUGGACCCCCAGUGAACGGGAUUGUUGGGGGGAGGGCGGUAAUGGGGGGAGGAUGGGGAGGGGAACACCCAUAUAGAAGGGGAGGGGGAGGGGUUAGGGGGAUGUUUGCCUGGAAACUGGGAAAGGGAAUAACAUUUGAAAUGUAAAUAAGAAAUACCCAAUUUAAUAAAGAUGGAAAAAAAGAAAAAA
This is a non-coding RNA of Rattus norvegicus (Norway rat), 1460 nucleotides long. The record is from RefSeq and is a predicted model, not a curated record. Lineage: Eukaryota; Metazoa; Chordata; Mammalia; Rodentia; Muridae.